RNAcentral lists this ribosomal RNA (185 nucleotides) under uncultured bacterium. RNAcentral's name for it is "partial 16S ribosomal RNA". It matches the Rfam family "Bacterial small subunit ribosomal RNA", at positions 1316 to 1500 of the family's 1533-position model. The record is from RNAcentral.
CUGCAUGAAGUUGGAAUUGCUAGUAAUCGCGGAUCAGCAUGCCGCGGUGAAUACGUUCCCGGGCCUUGUACACACCGCCCGUCACACCAUGGGAGCCGGUAAUACCCGAAGUCAGUAGCCUAACCGCAAGGAGGGCGCUGCCGAAGGUAGGAUUGGCGACUGGGGUGAAGUCGUAACAAGGUAGC